This 1356-nucleotide ribosomal RNA is filed under the name uncultured bacterium. RNAcentral's name for it is "bacterial SSU rRNA". It matches the Rfam family "Bacterial small subunit ribosomal RNA". The record is from RNAcentral.
AGAGUUUGAUCCUGGCUCAGGACGAACGCUGGCGGCGCGCCUAACACAUGCAAGUCGAACGAGCGAGAGAGAGUUUACUUUUUCGAGCGAGUGGCGAACGGGUGAGUAACGCGUGAGGAACCUGCCUCAAAGAGGGGGACAACAGUUGGAAACGACUGCUAAUACCGCAUAAGCCCACGGCUCGGCAUCGAGCAGAGGGAAAAGGAGCAAUCCGCUUUGAGAUGGCCUCGCGUCCGAUUAGCUAGUUGGUGAGGUAACGGCCCACCAAGGCGACGAUCGGUAGCCGGACUGAGAGGUUGAACGGCCACAUUGGGACUGAGACACGGCCCAGACUCCUACGGGAGGCAGCAGUGGGGAAUAUUGCACAAUGGGGGAAACCCUGAUGCAGCGACGCCGCGUGGAGGAAGAAGGUCUUCGGAUUGUAAACUCCUGUUGUUGAGGAAGAUAAUGGCGGUACUCAACAAGGAAGUGACGGCUAACUACGUGCCAGCAGCCGCGGUAAAACGUAGGUCACAAGCGUUGUCCGGAAUUACUGGGUGUAAAGGGAGCGCAGGCGGGAAGACAAGUUGGAAGUGAAAUCCAUGGGCUCAACCCAUGAACUGCUUUCACUGUUUUUCUUGAGUAGUGCAGAGGUAGGCGGAAUUCCCGGUGUAGCGGUGGAAUGCGUAGAUAUCGGGAGGAACACCAGUGGCGAAAGGCGGUACUGGGCACCAACUGACGCUGAGGCUCGAAAGUGUGGGUAGCAAACAGGAUUAGAUACCCUGGAGUCCACACUGUAAACGAUGAUUACUUGUGGAGGAUUGACCCCUUCAGUGCCAGUUAACACAAUAAGUAAUCCACCUGGGGGUACGACGCAAGGUUGAAACUCAAAGGAAUUGACGGGGGCCCGCACAAGCAGUGGAGUAUGUGGUUUAAUUCGACGCAACGCGAAGAACCUUACCAAGUCUUGACAUCCUGCGACGCACAUAGAAAUAUGUGUUUCCUUCGGGACGCAGAGACAGGUGGUGCAUGGUUGUCGUCAGCUCGUGUCGUGAGAUGUUGGGUUAAGUCCCGCAACGAGCGCAACCCUUAUGGUCAGUUACUACGCAAGAGGACUCUGGCCAGACUGCCGUUGACAAAACGGAGGAAGGUGGGGAUGACGUCAAAUCAUCAUGCCCUUUAUGACUUGGGCUACACACGUACUACAAUGGCGUUAAACAAAGAGAAGCAAGACCGCGAGGUGGAGCAAAACUCAGAAACAACGUCCCAGUUCGGACUGCAGGCUGCAACUCGCCUGCACGAAGUCGGAAUUGCUAGUAAUCGCAGAUCAGCAUGCUGCGGUGAAUACGUUCCCGGGCCUUGUACACACCGCCCGUC